CUCAGAGCACAGACAACAUUAAUACACACCUGAUCUGACCUAGUCAACAUGGAAAAACACCUGCUUCUCAUUUUAACUCUGACUUCAGGUGUGAUGACUGCAGACCAGAUUAGGCCAAAUAAAGAUGCUUUUGUUGUAAAGGAAGAGGAGACUGUGGCCUUCAGCUGCACAUAUGAUACAAGCAGCAGUUAUGUUCAUCUGCACUGGUACAGACAGUAUCCCAAUGGAGAACCUCAGUAUUUAAUAUUUAGACCUGCUCGAUCAGCUACUGCAAGUGGAAGUCCCACUGAUCCUCGCUUUCAGUCGACUACAUCACGUACAUCCACUGAAUUCACUAUUACUGGUGUAACUCUGUCAGAUUCAGCUCUCUAUUAUUGUGCUCUAAGAGCUGCAGCCCAGUGA
This is a non-coding RNA of Labeo rohita (rohu), 402 nucleotides long. Lineage: Eukaryota; Metazoa; Chordata; Actinopteri; Cypriniformes; Cyprinidae. The record is from the annotation of a RefSeq genome assembly.